RNAcentral lists this ribosomal RNA (684 nucleotides) under uncultured Bacilli bacterium. Its description in RNAcentral is "bacterial SSU rRNA". It matches the Rfam family "Bacterial small subunit ribosomal RNA", at positions 69 to 724 of the family's 1533-position model. Lineage: Bacteria; Bacillati; Bacillota; Bacilli. The record is from RNAcentral.
CUUCUUUCCUCCCGAGUGCUUGCACUCAAUUGGAAAGAGGAGUGGCGGACGGGUGAGUAACACGUGGGUAACCUACCCAUCAGAGGGGGAUAACACUUGGAAACAGGUGCUAAUACCGCAUAACAGUUUAUGCCGCAUGGCAUAAGAGUGAAAGGCGCUUUCGGGUGUCGCUGAUGGAUGGACCCGCGGUGCAUUAGCUAGUUGGUGAGGUAACGGCUCACCAAGGCCACGAUGCAUAGCCGACCUGAGAGGGUGAUCGGCCACACUGGGACUGAGACACGGCCCAGACUCCUACGGGAGGCAGCAGUAGGGAAUCUUCGGCAAUGGACGAAAGUCUGACCGAGCAACGCCGCGUGAGUGAAGAAGGUUUUCGGAUCGUAAAACUCUGUUGUUAGAGAAGAACAAGGACGUUAGUAACUGAACGUCCCCUGACGGUAUCUAACCAGAAAGCCACGGCUAACUACGUGCCAGCAGCCGCGGUAAUACGUAGGUGGCAAGCGUUGUCCGGAUUUAUUGGGCGUAAAGCGAGCGCAGGCGGUUUCUUAAGUCUGAUGUGAAAGCCCCCGGCUCAACCGGGGAGGGUCAUUGGAAACUGGGAGACUUGAGUGCAGAAGAGGAGAGUGGAAUUCCAUGUGUAGCGGUGAAAUGCGUAGAUAUAUGGAGGAACACCAGUGGCGAAGGCGG